This 234-nucleotide ribosomal RNA is filed under the name uncultured bacterium. RNAcentral describes it as "partial 16S ribosomal RNA". It matches the Rfam family "Bacterial small subunit ribosomal RNA", at positions 96 to 334 of the family's 1533-position model. The record is from RNAcentral.
UGGCGGACGGGUGAGUAAUGUCCGGGAAACUGCCCGAUGGAGGGGGAUAACUACUGGAAACGGUAGCUAAUACCGCAUAACGUCGCAAGACCAAAGAGGGGACCUUCGGGCCUCUUGCCAUCGGAUGUGCCCAGAUGGGAUUAGCUAGUAGGUGGGGUAACGGCUCACCUAGGCGACGAUCCCUAGCUGGUCUGAGAGGAUGACCAGCCACACUGGAACUGAGACACGGUCCAG